This 502-nucleotide ribosomal RNA is filed under the name uncultured bacterium. RNAcentral describes it as "partial 16S ribosomal RNA". It matches the Rfam family "Bacterial small subunit ribosomal RNA", at positions 28 to 523 of the family's 1533-position model. The record is from RNAcentral.
GAUGAACGCUAGCGGCAGGCCUAACACAUGCAAGUCGAGGGGCAGCACAGAAACAGCAAUGUUUUGGUGGCGACCGGCGGACGGGUGCGUAACGCGUAUGCAACCUACCUUUAACAGGGGGAUAACGGAGAGAAAUUUCCACUAAUACCCCAUAACAUCGAUCAAGGCAUCUUGAUUGGUUGAAAACUCCGGUGGUUAAAGAUGGGCAUGCGUUGUAUUAGGUAGUUGGUGAGGUAAUGGCUCACCAAGCCUACGAUACAUAGGGGGACUGAGAGGUUAGCCCCCCCAACUGGUACUGAGACACGGACCAGACUCCUACGCGAGGCAGCAGUGAGGAAUAUUGGUCAAUGGGGGCAACCCUGAACCAGCCAUGCCGCGUGCAGGAAGACGGCUCUAUGAGUUGUAAACUGCUUUUAAACAGGGAUAAAGCACAGUAUGUAUACUGUGUUGAAGGUACUGUAAGAAUAAGGUUCGGCUAACUCCGUGCCAGCCGCCGCCGUAA